This is a long non-coding RNA of Mugil cephalus (flathead mullet), 838 nucleotides long. RefSeq lists it as uncharacterized. The transcript has 3 exons. The record is from RefSeq and is a predicted model, not a curated record. Lineage: Eukaryota; Metazoa; Chordata; Actinopteri; Mugiliformes; Mugilidae.
AAAGCGGGAGUGGGGAGCUGAAGGCCGAAGGAUCACGUAAGUGAGGAAGGACUAGGCUACCACAUUCGCUGCGUAACAUACUCUGAGCCAACGAAAUGUCCAACCAAAGCGUUUAAGAAAUGUAAGAUCAGAUGAUCACGCAGCAAUGGACACACAGUCCUGAAACUACAAACUCACAGGUCAUAAAAUAUCACCGACGAUAUUUAACCACAGCUGGCUGGCUUGCUGGUGUGCUGCAGAAUUUCUGUUUUGUUUGCCUUUACUCUUAAGGCUAAUGAUGAAGUGACUCGAGCUGUUCCUUCUUCAAAAUAUGUCUAAACUGACCUCAUUGACCAUAAUUGCACUGGGUCCUGAGUGACCUUUUAACCUCAGCAAAUACCAUCAGAAUGAGAUAGUGCUGCCGCGUUGGAAAGGAUUUGCGAAGGAGUUUAGCCGUGUUGUGGGGAAGCACAGGAAAAGAGGAGAAGAUUUCCCACCUACGCAUGAUGAAAAUCCAAUCCGGUGAUCACCAAGUUCAUUUUUUUUUUUUUUUUCUUGCAGGAGUUCCUUCUGUUGGGUGGAUGGCUCCAGGCCACAGGUGUAGCUGCUCCGCACGUGACAGAAUGGAAAACAUUAUGGAGAUGUCAGUGGAAGCCAACAGCCUGCAGCUGUCUUUGGAAAUCUCACUGACACGUACUCGUGAAGGAAAGGUGGUUUCUGCUGUCAGUGGACGCGGCUGCUGGAUGCAUUAGCUUUACAAGCCUGUCACGUUGCAUUUGUCAUUCUCUGGUAAGCCACCUCUACGCUAACGCUGGGGCUACAUGCAUUUAUGCAACCGUUUCUCAGCUUUAUUUUGAGA